UACAGAGGUCUCAAGCGUUGUUCGGAUUCAUUGGGCGUAAAGGGUGCGUAGGCGGCGCGGUAAGUCGGGUGUGAAAUCUUGGAGCUUAACUCCGAAACUGCAUUCGAUACUGCCGUGCUUGAGGACUGGAGAGGAGACUGGAAUUUACGGUGUAGCAGUGAAAUGCGUAGAUAUCGUAAGGAAGACCAGUGGCGAAGGCGGCUUGCUGGGCCUUACCUGACGCUGAGGAGCGAAAGCGUGGGGAGCGAACAGG
This 253-nucleotide ribosomal RNA is filed under the name uncultured bacterium. RNAcentral's name for it is "partial 16S ribosomal RNA". It matches the Rfam family "Bacterial small subunit ribosomal RNA", at positions 524 to 776 of the family's 1533-position model. The record is from RNAcentral.